GACGAACGCUGGCGGCGUGCUUAACACAUGCAAGUCGAACGGAAAGGCCUGCUUUCCCUUGUGGAUUGCGGGUACUCGAGUGGCGAACGGGUGAGUAACACGUGAGUGAUCUGCCCCCAACUUGGGUAUAAGCCUGGGAAACUGGGUCUAAUUCCCGAUAGGACUUCAGGGUGGUGCCUGUGGUGGAAAACGAUUUUCUAGUGGUUGGGGAUGAGCUCGCGGCCUAUCAGCUUGUUGGUGGGGUAAUGGCCUACCAAGGCGGCGACGGGUAGCCGGCCUGAGAGGGUGGACGGCCACAUUGGGAAUGAGAUACGGCCCAGACUCCUACGGGAGGCAGCAGUGGGGAAUAUUGCACAAUGGGCGGAAGCCUGAUGCCGCGACGCCGGGUGGGGGAUGACGGCCUUCGGGUUGUAAACUCCUUUCGACCGCGAGGAAGCCACCUGGUUGGAAGGGUGGUGACGGUAGUGGUAGAAGAAGCACCGGCUAACUACGU
Molecule: ribosomal RNA, 493 nt
Filed under: uncultured bacterium
Lineage: Bacteria
Description: partial 16S ribosomal RNA
Rfam family: Bacterial small subunit ribosomal RNA
Source: RNAcentral